UACGGGGGGGGUAAGCGUUGUUCGGAAUUACUGGGCGUAAAGGGCGCGUAGGCGGCCCUCUUUGUCGCGUGUGAAAGCCCCGGGCUCAACCUGGGAACGGCGCGCGAAACGGGGGGGCUGGAGUUCGGGAGAGGAGCGUGGAAUUCCCAGUGUAGAGGUGAAAUUCGUAGAUAUUGGGAAGAACACCGGUGGCGAAGGCGGCGCUCUGGACCGAGACUGACGCUGAGGCGCGAAAGCGUGGGGAGCAAACAGG
This 253-nucleotide ribosomal RNA is filed under the name uncultured bacterium. Its description in RNAcentral is "partial 16S ribosomal RNA". It matches the Rfam family "Bacterial small subunit ribosomal RNA", at positions 524 to 776 of the family's 1533-position model. The record is from RNAcentral.